AUUGAACGCUGGCGGCAUGCCUUACACAUGCAAGUCGAACGGUAACAGGUUAAGCUGACGAGUGGCGAACGGGUGAGUAAUAUAUCGGAACGUGCCCAGUCGUGGGGGAUAACGUAGCGAAAGCUACGCUAAUACCGCAUACGAUCUACGGAUGAAAGCGGGGGAUCGCAAGACCUCGCGCGAUUGGAGCGGCCGAUAUCAGAUUAGGUUGUUGGUGAGGUAAAAGCUCACCAAGCCUACGAUCUGUAGCUGGUCUGAGAGGAUGACCAGCCACACUGGAACUGAGACACGGUCCAGACUCCUACGGGAGGCAGCAGUGGGGAAUUUUGGACAAUGGGCGAAAGCCUGAUCCAGCCAUUCCGCGUGCAGGAUGAAGGCCCUCGGGUUGUAAACUGCUUUUGUACAGAACGAAAAGGUUUCUACUAAUACUAGGAGCUCAUGACGGUACUGUAAGAAUAAGCACCGGCUAACUACGUGCCAGCCGCCGCCGUAA
RNAcentral lists this ribosomal RNA (493 nucleotides) under uncultured bacterium. Its description in RNAcentral is "partial 16S ribosomal RNA". It matches the Rfam family "Bacterial small subunit ribosomal RNA", at positions 30 to 523 of the family's 1533-position model. The record is from RNAcentral.